RNAcentral lists this unclassified non-coding RNA (201 nucleotides) under Hevea brasiliensis (rubber tree). The record is from RNAcentral. Lineage: Eukaryota; Viridiplantae; Streptophyta; Magnoliopsida; Malpighiales; Euphorbiaceae.
UUCAUGGGCAAGGCUUUUUGAAUUUGUCUUGAAGAUCACAGUAGAGCUGUGGGGCCAUAUCAUUAUCACUAGCAUUCUCCAAGGGACCUCGAAGAACAGAACCGGGUCCAACAUUUAUACUGAAGAAUAACGAUAAAAUCAAGCGUUGUGAUUCAAUCAUAUCUCCCGGUCCAGACAAAUUCAAAAAGCCUUGCCCAUGAA